GCGCUGCUAGCUCAGUUGGUAGAGCACCUGACUCUUAAUCAGGGUGUCCAGGGUUCGAGCCCCUGGCAGCGCA
RNAcentral lists this transfer RNA (73 nucleotides) under Kineothrix alysoides. It matches the Rfam family "tRNA". From Rfam's summary of the family: Transfer RNA (tRNA) molecules are approximately 80 nucleotides in length. The record is from Rfam by way of RNAcentral. Lineage: Bacteria; Bacillati; Bacillota; Clostridia; Lachnospirales; Lachnospiraceae.